Molecule: long non-coding RNA, 456 nt
Organism: Armigeres subalbatus
Lineage: Eukaryota; Metazoa; Arthropoda; Insecta; Diptera; Culicidae
Exons: 3
Source: RefSeq, a predicted model, not a curated record
AAAUAAACUUGUUUUUAAACAUUGGAUGGGACAUUUCAGUAAGUUUUACUUGAAAUGUGUUGUGGUAAACAAAGUUGUGUAUCUGUGGAAAAAUUUGAUAAUCCAGGAAAUGGACAAGAUUUUGCCGGUGGGAAAGUUAAUGUUUCCGAUAAGAUGCCGAAAACUGCGCGGUGGACAAAACAGAAUCCACCAUUCAGAGGAACUAGAAUGGGGAACAUGAAAAUCUGUGGAAAUGAUUUUCUACGUUCCGUUCGACAUUGGGGUGAAGAUUGGAAAUGACAUCUCAUCAGCACACUCGGGAUCACUGCCGAUUUGUAUUCACGGAGAUGGAAUGAGAGAGAAUAAAUGAAAUAUGUUUCUCCAAAUUCUCAUGAAAGAAAACAUGUAUUUGAAAUUUGAAUUUCUAUUUUAGAUCGCCAUUCAAACGAAAUUUAUUUGAAAUGAAAAUAAAAAACA